Molecule: non-coding RNA, 31 nt
Filed under: Homo sapiens (human)
Lineage: Eukaryota; Metazoa; Chordata; Mammalia; Primates; Hominidae
Source: RNAcentral
UGCCUAAUUCCAGCUCCUCCAGGAAGCAAGG